AGGACGAACGCUGGCGGCGUGCCUAACACAUGCAAGUCGAACGAGGUCCACUUGGUGGCAACACCGGGGAAGACCUAGUGGCGAACGGGUGAGUAACACGUGAGCAACCUGCCCCGAAGUCUGGGAUAACACCGGGAAACCGGUGCUAAUACCGGAUGCCCCUGUCGUGCCGCAUGGCAUGAUGGGGAAAGGAUUUCCGCUUUGGGAGGGACUCGCGGCCUAUCAGUUUGUUGGUGAGGUAAAAGCUCACCAAGACGACGACGGGUAGCUGGUCUGAGAGGACGAUCAGCCACACUGGGACUGAGACACGGCCCAGACUCCUACGGGAGGCAGC
Molecule: ribosomal RNA, 334 nt
Filed under: uncultured prokaryote
Description: bacterial SSU rRNA
Rfam family: Bacterial small subunit ribosomal RNA
Source: RNAcentral